AUAUGUUCAAUAGGGAUGAUUUGAGAACAUAUUUAUGUGCAUAUUUUGUUUCUAUCAAUGGAGUAUUUCUAAAUGUGACAUAUAUGUUCUCAGGUCACCCCUAUAGAUUAUUC
This 113-nucleotide microRNA precursor is filed under the name Capsicum annuum. Its description in RNAcentral is "MIR398 microRNA precursor family". It matches the Rfam family "MIR398 microRNA precursor family". Lineage: Eukaryota; Viridiplantae; Streptophyta; Magnoliopsida; Solanales; Solanaceae. The record is from Rfam by way of RNAcentral.